Venturia canescens is the source of this 931-nucleotide long non-coding RNA. RefSeq lists it as uncharacterized. The record is from RefSeq and is a predicted model, not a curated record. Lineage: Eukaryota; Metazoa; Arthropoda; Insecta; Hymenoptera; Ichneumonidae. The transcript is spliced from 5 exons.
ACAUUCACGGAGAAGUUGAGCAUGGAGCGUGUUUCAGAGAGAAUGCGAGGUCCGAGAUAAAAAUGAUUGUCGAUAAUUUGUAUUGUUCGAAGAUUGCGAGAAACUUUAGUGAAGCGGUGGUAGUUCGAUCGUUGUAAUCGUAGAUGAUUGUUAUGUGGCAGAGAAACAGUAGCAACAGCGGCAGCGAGAGUAUCGAGUAAUCGAAACGCCGUUCUAUAUUAUUAAACACGUCGUACAACCGAUCGUUCUCAACAGCGUUCUAUCUAUCGCUUCCUAUACCAAAAGUCGUUCCUUGAGGAAAAGAGUGGGCAAAGAAAACUCCGCCAUUGCUCAACGGGUCCGAUGAGUAAACAGCGAUUCUUCCACCGGGACUUAUCUCAACGUAUGAGAAAUGGAAAAGAAAAACAUAAAAGAGUCGACGAGAUUGUCAGGAUUGAAGGAUUGAUAGUGUCAGGGCUUGUGAUUCUCGAAGGAAGUAAGGACGGCCAGAUUAUCGCGAAUGAACGAACUGCAGUGCUCAGGGUCAGAGUUGCUCAGAGGAAAAUUCAUCGAGAGGAGAGAAAAUGGAGUCCCUCGAGUUCAUGUCUCGAAGUAAAAAAAUACUAUGGAAGAAUACUGGACGAAAAACGAUUUGAAAGGGGAAGUCAAGGAAAUGUGGGCGAGGAUGAGAUGUGGCAACAUGGGAAAAAUGGGCAACAAGGGAUACAGGAACACCGAGUGUCGCAUAUGAAUUCAUUUCAUCCCUUAAAUAUGCGAGUGGGCGUACAGAUCGUGGGGGUACAAUAAGGUGACUUUUCUUGUGAUUACUGGAGUUUUAGUGGAAUCAAUUAAUUGACUCUUAGCUGGAAAUAUUCGAAUUCGUAUAAGUGUGACCGGGCCUCGAGGAAAAUCAUUUCAAAAUAAUGCAGCGAGUGUUAAAAAGAUGAGAAAA